UUCCGUAGGGUGACCUGCGGAGGGAUCAUUACACAAAUAUGAAGGCGGGCUGGAACCUCUCGGGGUUACAGCCUUGCUGAAUUAUUCACCCUUGUCUUUUGCGUACUUCUUGUUUCCUUGGUGGGUUCGCCCACCACUAGGACAAACAUAAACCUUUUGUAAUUGCAAUCAGCGUCAGUAACAAAUUAAUAAUUACAACUUUCAACAACGGAUCUCUUGGUUCUGGCAUCGAUGAAGAACGCAGCGAAAUGCGAUAAGUAGUGUGAAUUGCAGAAUUCAGUGAAUCAUCGAAUCUUUGAACGCACAUUGCGCCCUUUGGUAUUCCAAAGGGCAUGCCUGUUCGAGCGUCAUUUGUACCCUCAAGCUUUGCUUGGUGUUGGGCGUCUUGUCUCUAGCUUUGCUGGAGACUCGCCUUAAAGUAAUUGGCAGCCGGCCUACUGGUUUCGGAGCGCAGCACAAGUCGCACUCUCUAUCAGCAAAGGUCUAGCAUCCAUUAAGCCUUUUUUUCAACUUUUGACCUCGGAUCAGGUAGGGAUACCCGCUGAACUUAAGCAUAUCAAUAAGCGGAGGAA
This 572-nucleotide ribosomal RNA is filed under the name Alternaria alternata. Its description in RNAcentral is "eukaryotic LSU rRNA". The stretch from base 197 to 350 matches the Rfam family "5.8S ribosomal RNA". Lineage: Eukaryota; Fungi; Ascomycota; Dothideomycetes; Pleosporales; Pleosporaceae. The record is from RNAcentral.